GAUGAACGCUGGCGGCGUGCUUAACACAUGCAAGUCGAACGAUGAAGCCCAGCUUGCUGGGUGGAUUAGUGGCGAACGGGUGAGUAACACGUGAGUAACCUGCCCUUGACUCUGGGAUAAGCCUGGGAAACUGGGUCUAAUACUGGAUAUGACUUCUCAUCGCAUGGUGGGGGGUGGAAAGAUUUAUUGGUCUUGGAUGGACUCGCGGCCUAUCAGCUUGUUGGUGAGGUAAUGGCUCACCAAGGCGACGACGGGUAGCCGGCCUGAGAGGGUGACCGGCCACACUGGGACUGAGACACGGCCCAGACUCCUACGGGAGGCAGCAGUGGGGAAUAUUGCACAAUGGGCGCAAGUCUGAUGCAGCGACGCCGCGUGAGGGAUGACGGCCUUCGGGUUGUAAACCUCUUUCAGUAGGGAAGAAGCGAGAGUGACGGUACCUGCAGAAGAAGCGCCGGCUAACUACGUG
Molecule: ribosomal RNA, 466 nt
Filed under: uncultured bacterium
Lineage: Bacteria
Description: partial 16S ribosomal RNA
Rfam family: Bacterial small subunit ribosomal RNA
Source: RNAcentral